UAAGCGGAGGAAAAGAAACUAACAAGGAUUCCCCUAGUAACUGCGAGUGAAGCGGGAAAAGCUCAAAUUUAAAAUCUGGUGGUCUUUGGCCAUCCGAGUUGUAAUUUAGAGAAGCGUCUUCCGCGCUGGACCGUGCACAAGUCUCCUGGAAUGGAGCGUCAUAGAGGGUGAGAAUCCCGUCUUUGGCAUGGACACACCAGGGCUUUUGUGAUGCGCUCUCGAAGAGUCGAGUUGUUUGGGAAUGCAGCUCAAAAUGGGUGGUGAACUCCAUCUAAAGCUAAAUAUUGGCGAGAGACCGAUAGCGAACAAGUACCGUGAGGGAAAGAUGAAAAGCACUUUGGAAAGAGAGUGAAACAGUACGUGAAAUUGUUGAAAGGGAAACGCUUGAAGUCAGUCACGUCGACCGAGACUCAGCCUUGCCUCGGCUUGGUGUACUUCUCGGCUGACGGGUCAGCAUCAAUUUUGCCCCUUGGAUAAUGGCGAGGGAAAUGUGACACCUUUAUGGUGUGUUAUAGUCUCUCGUCGCAUGCAAGGGUUGGGAUUGAGGAACUCAGCACGCGCCUUUUGGUGUCGGGGCUUUGCCCACGAUACGUGCUUAGGAUGUUGGCAUAAUGGCUUUAAACGACC
RNAcentral lists this ribosomal RNA (627 nucleotides) under uncultured Russulaceae. Its description in RNAcentral is "LSU rRNA". It matches the Rfam family "Eukaryotic large subunit ribosomal RNA", at positions 47 to 649 of the family's 3401-position model. Lineage: Eukaryota; Fungi; Basidiomycota; Agaricomycetes; Russulales; Russulaceae. The record is from RNAcentral.